AUUGAACGCUGGCAGCAUGCCUUACACAUGCAAGUCGAACGGUAACGGGUCCUUCGGGAUGCCGACGAGUGGCGAACGGGUGAGUAAUAUAUCGGAACGUGCCCAGUAGUGGGGGAUAACUGCUCGAAAGAGCAGCUAAUACCGCAUACGACCUGAGGGUGAAAGGGGGGGAUCGCAAGACCUCUCGCUAUUGGAGCGGCCGAUAUCAGAUUAGCUAGUUGGUGGGGUAAAGGCCUACCAAGGCAACGAUCUGGAGUUUGUCUGAGAGGACGACCAGCCACACUUGGAAUGAGACAAGGCCCAGACUCCCACGGGAGGCAGGAGUGGGGAAUUUUGGACAAUGGGCGCAAGCCUGAUCCAGGAAUGGCGCGUGCAGGAAGAAGGCCUUCGGGGUGUAAACUGCUUUUGUCAGGGAAGAAAUCUUCUGGGCUAAUACCCCGGGAGGAUGACGGUACCUGAAGAAUAAGCACCGGCUAACUACGUGCCAGCCGCCGCCGUAA
This 500-nucleotide ribosomal RNA is filed under the name uncultured bacterium. RNAcentral describes it as "partial 16S ribosomal RNA". It matches the Rfam family "Bacterial small subunit ribosomal RNA", at positions 30 to 523 of the family's 1533-position model. The record is from RNAcentral.